UACGGAGGAUCCGAGCGUUAUCCGGAUUUAUUGGGUUUAAAGGGUGCGUAGGCGGCCUUUUAAGUCAGCGGUGAAAGUCUGUGGCUCAACCAUAGAACUGCAUUUGAAACUGUUAUUCUAGAGUAUGGGAGAGGUAGGUGGAAUUCUUGGUGUAGGGGUAAAAUCCGUAGAGAUCAAGAGGAAUACUCAUUGCGAAGGCGACCUGCUAGAACAUAACUGACGCUGAUGCGCGAAAGCGUGGGGAGCAAACAGG
Molecule: ribosomal RNA, 253 nt
Filed under: uncultured Helicobacteraceae bacterium
Lineage: Bacteria; Pseudomonadati; Campylobacterota; Epsilonproteobacteria; Campylobacterales; Helicobacteraceae
Description: partial 16S ribosomal RNA
Rfam family: Bacterial small subunit ribosomal RNA
Source: RNAcentral